Molecule: non-coding RNA, 73 nt
Organism: Nerophis lumbriciformis (worm pipefish)
Lineage: Eukaryota; Metazoa; Chordata; Actinopteri; Syngnathiformes; Syngnathidae
Source: the annotation of a RefSeq genome assembly
GCCCGGUUAGCUCAGUCGGUAGAGCAUGAGACUCUUAAUCUCGGGGUCGUGCCUUCGAGCCCCACAUUGGGCG